AUUGAACGCUGGCGGCAGGCCUAACACAUGCAAGUCGAACGGUAACAGGAAGCAUCUUGCUGCUUUGCUGACGAGUGGCGGACGGGUGAGUAAUGUCUGGGAAACUGCCCGAUGGAGGGGGAUAACUACUGGAAACGGUAGCUAAUACCGCAUAACGUCGCAAGACCAAAGAGGGGUGCCUUAGGGCCUCUUGCCAUCGGAUGUGCCCAGGUGGGAUUAGCGAGUAGGUGGGGUAACGGCUCACCGAGGCGACGAUCCCUAGCUGGUCUGAGAGGAUGACCAGCCACACUGGAACUGAGACACGGUCCAGACUCCUACGGGAGGCAGCAGUGGGGAAUAUUGCACAACGGGCGAAAGCCUGAUGCAGCCAUGCCGCGUGUAUGAAGAAGGCCUUCGGGUUGUAAAGUACUUUCAGCGGGGAGGAAGGGAGUAAAGUUAAUACCUUGGCUCAUUGACGUUACCCGCAGAAGAAGCACCGGCUAACUCCGUG
This 490-nucleotide ribosomal RNA is filed under the name uncultured bacterium. Its description in RNAcentral is "partial 16S ribosomal RNA". It matches the Rfam family "Bacterial small subunit ribosomal RNA", at positions 30 to 507 of the family's 1533-position model. The record is from RNAcentral.